This 3496-nucleotide unclassified non-coding RNA is filed under the name Leishmania donovani. Its description in RNAcentral is "gene:LdHU3.24.0500(CDS-product:TPR_repeat_putativ e)". Lineage: Eukaryota; Euglenozoa; Kinetoplastea; Trypanosomatida; Trypanosomatidae. The record is from RNAcentral.
UUGCGGUACUGUGUUACGGGUGGCCACACGCACUUUCAUCGGCACAAACGCUUACAAGCGCCCCCACGCCGGUCUUCGGUCGCUGAUCUCUCUCCCGCACCACCACCCCAUCCUACCUAAGCCCUCUGUGCGGUAGAGAAAGCGUGCGCCUGCGUGUGUGCUCCUUCCGUUGUGUGCCACGCCCCACCUCCACCACGCCCUUGUAUCAUUCCUCGCCUGAAUCUCUCUCGCCGCUCUCUGGCCGACGCAGUGCUGAAGAAAAGCGCCGUCCUUUGCCGUUGCGUCUUGGCUUCCGUGCCUCGCCAUACACUCACGCACACACACACACACACACACACACGACGACAGCAUCGCACAGGCAGAGAACCACGCGGGCACGCACAGGGAGGGAUAGCGACACCAGAGGAGCAGCGCAGAGAGGCGCAUACGCAGUCAGGUCAACGCGCAGGCACACGCAAGGAGGAGCUGCAGCGUCCCCCGCUGCCCCUUCGGUGUCCCAGAAGUCUGUUUCCCGUCGGCGCUCCACCACAGCGCACCUGCCUUCCCUCAGUGAAGCAGCGACGGAAUAUGGAGGCGGCGUUGACGGAGCUCAAGAACGAGGGCAACGCGCAGUUUGCGUCCGGCAACGCUAGGGGCGCGAUUGAGACCUACAAGAAAGGCAUUCACCUCAUCGAAGCCGAUGCAGGUCAGCAGCAGAAGCAGCAGCAGGAUUUCAAGGCCGUGGGAGUGUCGGCCACGUCCUUGACGACAUCUGAGGAGGCGCGGAGAUUACACGUGCUGCUCUACUCGAACAUGUCGAACGCGUACUUAAGCCUGUGUGAUUUCCGCGAGAGCUGGGAGAUGGCUGCAGCGGCGACGAGACUCGACCCGCAUGCUUGGAAGCCGUGGAUGCGCUUUAUCGAGGCUCGCCGUCGCGGCGGCUUCCCGUUCGACGCCCUUGUGCACUCGUUGCAAUACUUGCGGCCACUCCUGCGCGCGGAACGGGAGCAGAGGCGCAUGACGGCGGCCGAAGCGAUAGCGACUCUUGACGCCAUCGAGGCUCCGCUGUGUGAUGAGUUGGGACUGCUCCGCCUCUCACCGGACAUCGAGCUCGUCGAGUACGCUGGCGGCGUGGCGCUGAUCAGCCGCCGCCAGUUCCAGCCGAAGGAUGUGAUCUUUGUGGAGCACAAGUACACCAGGAUCAACUUCGAGGAAAGCGAGAUGAGCACGCAGUCUGACCUCACCACGGAGUCGAUUGUGGGGUACUUCGCAGAGCGCCUGCGUCCUGAGCAGGCUGUGGCGAGUAAGCGUUGGUGCGACUUCAAGAAAGAUUUCACAGGUGCAUGGCCGCGCAGCGACGACGACGUCGACGUCGACACCCGCGAGACCAUAAGCAGCCACCUACGCACCCGCUUCCCCGACGUUGCCGAGGACGACUUCCGUGAGCUGCUCAGCACCGCUCUCAUGUGUCGCUUCAACUGCUUCCACUCGGGGUUCUUCCGCACCUGCGCCCUGGCGAACCACAGCUGCCACGCCAACAUCGCCAUGAAGUAUAGCAGCGUGGAGGAGACGGUCAAAAUGAUCGCUGUCGACAUCAUCCAGCCCGGUGAGCUCAUGAAUGUGAAGUACCUCAGCGACGCACACUUCCUGCUUGGUGUAGGCAAGCGCCGAGAGCUGCUGCGCUCCUGGCUCUUCUGGUGCCAGUGCGACCGUUGCCUGCGAGAUAGCCAGGCCACGGCACUCUCGGAGUUCGUUGAGUGUUCUGCUUGCGGUGCCUUUUCGCACUCCGCCCUGAUGGGCUUCAACCCUGCCUCUGAUCCGCUGCUCCAGGCUAGGGAAGCAUGUUGCGCGUGCAGCGCGGACAUGGUGUGGCCACCAGAGCAGCGUGACCUCCUCCAGAAGGAGCUCAUGCACACGUUCACAAGCAGCACAUCUUACUACACCCCCACCGAGCUCGCUGAGUGGAUGCACACGCAGCUCGAGAUGACGGAGAGGUUGCGGCUGCACCCCGAGCACUGGAUCUACCGCGCCCUCUUCUACUUUUUCGCUGUGGCGCUAACCGCAAUGGUCGAUCGCGUCAGCGCGGGGCUGAGCGAGCCGCGUAUCUCGCAGUUCGUGGUGGACGAGAUGAAGCACCUUUUCGGGGCCUGUGGCCUGCAGACAUACUACCUUCCCCGCUGCGCUGCCGCACGCGCGAAAGCCGGCGCGGCGAAGCACAUGGCUGGCGUGGUGGCAGUGGACGAAGUGGUGUGCACCAGCAGCGACAGCGGCGGCGGCUGCGAGUUUCUCAAGAGCCUUAUCAUUCUCUGGGAACUGCUGGUGCCCUUCUACCCUGUGAACGAGAUGUGGUCCGUCAACGACGCCAUCUGCAAGUUGGUGCUGCUGCACUUGGUGUACCCUACACCAGCGCCGUCCCUGGCCCCGUCGCUGGCGCUGAGGCUGCUCCAGCGGCACGGUAGCUAUGUCGGGGACGUCAACGCUGCAAAGUGGCUCCACAGCUAUAGCGUGCACCGGACCACCUUCAAUGCAAAGGAGCCGCUGCCGCUAACGAAGGUGAAGAAAGCCUUCAAGGGUGGAUGACUGCGGACCGUUAACCUGUCCACGUGCGCUGCAGCAUGCGCGCGCACACACGCGGGCGGGGGAGCGAUAUCUGGUAAUGAGGGCAAACGGCGUGAUUACAGCCUUCGCCUCCCUGGUGCGUCUGCGUCUUUGCGCCGGUGCAUGCAGCCUGCGUAUACACGGAUAUAGAUCUGUGUGUGUUCGCGCAUGAGCAUUCCUCGCCUCUCCCCUGAUGGCAGAGGCGAGGGCACCUUACACGGUGCGCGGUGUCGCAGGGUCCAGCGCCUACGGGGCAGGGGGAGGUGAGUGCGAUGUUGUAUCGCUGCUGAUGCGCGCGGUCAGGUCCUGUAGAGGGGGGAGGGGGCGGUGCUGCGUCGGAGCGUCCUGCUACAGCGCACACGCUGGUGCCAUCUGUGUGUUGGGCAGUGUGUGUGCGUGACUCGAGCCUAUCUCGCCUGGACCUCACCGCCCAUUGGUGGGGAGGCCGAGUGUCAUCCCGAGGAACAUAGCAGGCGGCCGCCUGCGGACCGGGUAUGGGGGUGGGCAGGCCUUGAGGCAGGGGCCGAGCGGCGUUUGGCCUCGUGUUGUACGGCAGGGCGGCGAUGGCACAUGUUUACAUACCUGCGAAAAGAAGUUUCGACCUGUUUCUUCUGGCUGCCGUGGUGGUUGUGGUGGUUGUCGGCACCGUAGCUCCGCACUGUCGCGCGCCCUCUUCCUCGGUGUCUUUAAGUGGUUUUUUAUUCUGAUAAGUGCCUUUGACGUGCCCAUCCCUGAGAUGUGCGCAGGGCAUGCGUACACGCAAAUUCAUGCCCACGCACCUAGGCGCAGGUCUCUGUUCUCCGUUGCCCGUCAAUCCUACCCUCCACUCAUUGGGACCUCUCUCUCUCUCCUACCCCCUUCUUUUCUGUCGUCCUCUCCGCCCUAUCCCCUUACACAUCUUCGGCUUGUUGUUUGGCAG